ACGGGGUGCAGCAGGCGCGAAACCUCCGCAAUGCACGCAAGUGUGACGGGGGGAUCCCAAGUGUUCUUACUUAGGUAAGAACUUUUCUCACGUGUAAAUAGCUUGAGGAAUAAGGGCUGGGUAAGACGGGUGCCAGCCGCCGCGGUAAUACCCGCAGCUCAAGUGGUUUGGACUUUUAUUGGGUCUAAAGCGUUCGUAGCUGGGUCUAUAAGUUCUCUGUGAAAUCUGGCGGCUCAACCGUCAGGCGUGCAGAGGAUACUGUAGAUCUUGGGACCGGAGUGGGCCAAAGGUACUCCUGGGGUAGGGGUGAAAUCCAAUAAUCCUGGGGGGACCACCUAUGGUUAAGACAUUUGGCUAAGACGGGUCCGACAGUGAGGGACGAAAGCUAGGGGAGCGAACGGGAUUAGAUACCCCGGUAGUCCUAGCCGUAAAUGAUGCAAACUAGGUGUUGCAUUCUUUUCGUGAGAAUGCAGUGCCGAAGGAAGCCGUUAAGUUGCCACCUGGAAGUACGUCGCAAG
RNAcentral lists this ribosomal RNA (518 nucleotides) under uncultured archaeon. Its description in RNAcentral is "bacterial SSU rRNA". It matches the Rfam family "Archaeal small subunit ribosomal RNA", at positions 325 to 847 of the family's 1478-position model. The record is from RNAcentral.